AGCGAACGCUGGCGGCAGGCUUAACACAUGCAAGUCGAGCGGGCGUAGCAAUACGUCAGCGGCAGACGGGUGAGUAACGCGUGGGAACGUACCUUUUGGUUCGGAACAACACAGGGAAACUUGUGCUAAUACCGGAUAAGCCCUUACGGGGAAAGAUUUAUCGCCGAAAGAUCGGCCCGCGUCUGAUUAGCUAGUUGGUAGGGUAAUGGCCUACCAAGGCGACGAUCAGUAGCUGGUCUGAGAGGAUGAUCAGCCACAUUGGGACUGAGACACGGCCCAAACUCCUACGGGAGGCAGCAGUGGGGAAUAUUGGACAAUGGGGGCAACCCUGAUCCAGCCAUGCCGCGUGAGUGAUGAAGGCCCUAGGGUUGUAAAGCUCUUUGUGCGGGAAGAUAAUGACGGUACCGCAAGAAUAAGCCCCGGCUAACUUCGUGCCAGCAGCCGCGGUAAU
This 451-nucleotide ribosomal RNA is filed under the name uncultured bacterium. Its description in RNAcentral is "bacterial SSU rRNA". It matches the Rfam family "Bacterial small subunit ribosomal RNA", at positions 29 to 524 of the family's 1533-position model. The record is from RNAcentral.